Molecule: ribosomal RNA, 1036 nt
Filed under: uncultured Chloroflexota bacterium
Lineage: Bacteria; Bacillati; Chloroflexota
Description: bacterial SSU rRNA
Rfam family: Bacterial small subunit ribosomal RNA
Source: RNAcentral
GAGUUUGAUCAUGGCUCAGGAUGAACGCUGGCGGCGUGCCUAACACAUGCAAGUCGAACGUGAGGGGUGACAAUUUCGGAUGAUUGCCCUGAAAGUGGCGAACGGGUGAGUAACACGUAGAAACCUGCCUUGAAGCGGGGGAUAACCAUUGGAAACGGUGGCUAAUACCGCAUGCAUCCACAGCAACGGGAGUGGGGUGGAUAAAGUUGAGGCGCUUUAAGAGGGGUCUGCGUCCGAUUAGCUAGUUGGUGAGGUAAAGGCUCACCAAGGCUGAGAUCGGUAGCUGGUCUGAGAGGACGAUCAGCCACACGGGAACUGAGACACGGUCCCGACUCCUACGGGGGGCAGCAGUGAGGAAUAUUGCACAAUGGGGGGAACCCUGAUGCAGCAACGCCGCGUGAAGGAUGAAGGCCUUGGAGUUGUAAACUUCUUUUAUCGGGGAAGAGGAAGGACGGUACCCGGUGAAUAAGUCACGGCUAACUACGUGCCAGCAGCCGCGGUAAUACGUAGGUGGCGAGCGUUAUCCGGAAUUACUGGGCGUAAAGGGCGCGCAGGCGGCUGUUUAAGUCUGACGUGAAAGCUCCUGGCUUAACUGGGAGAGGACGUUGGAGACUGAAUGGCUUGAGGCAAUGAGAGGGGUGCGGAAUUCCCGGUGUAGUGGUGGAAUGCGUAGAUAUCGGGAGGAACACCAGUGGCGAAAGCGGCAUCCUGGCAUUGACCUGACGCUCAUGUGCGAAAGCGUGGGUAGCGAACGGGAUUAGAUACCCCGGCAGUCCACGCUGUAAACGAUGAGCACUAGGUGUGGGUGGUGUCAAAACUAUCUGUGCCGAAGCAAACGCGAUAAGUGCUCCGCCUGGGGAGUACGGCCGCAAGGCUAAACUCAAAGGAUUGACGGGGGCCCGCACAGCAGCGGAGCGUGUGGUUUAAUUCGAUGCACGCGAGACUUACCUGGGCUUGACAUGCACUAGUAGUGAGCGAAAGCGGACGACCUUCGGGGAGCGUGCACAGGUGCUGCAUGGCUGUCGUCAGCUCGUGU